Molecule: unclassified non-coding RNA, 472 nt
Filed under: Colletotrichum sp. N2
Lineage: Eukaryota; Fungi; Ascomycota; Sordariomycetes; Glomerellales; Glomerellaceae
Description: Glomerella sp. N2 sequence contains ITS1, 5.8S rRNA gene, ITS2
Rfam family: 5.8S ribosomal RNA (bases 145-298)
Source: RNAcentral
CUAACUGUUGCUUCGGCGGGCAGGGGGUCCCCCCGGGGACGCCCUCCCGGCCCCGCCCCCCUACCAGGGGACGUGGCGCCCGCCGGAGGAUACCUAACUCUAUUUUAACGACGUUUCUUCUGAGUGGCACAAGCAAAUAAUUAAAACUUUUAACAACGGAUCUCUUGGUUCUGGCAUCGAUGAAGAACGCAGCGAAAUGCGAUAAGUAAUGUGAAUUGCAGAAUUCAGUGAAUCAUCGAAUCUUUGAACGCACAUUGCGCCCGCCAGCAUUCUGGCGGGCAUGCCUGUUCGAGCGUCAUUUCAACCCUCAAGCUCUGCUUGGUGUUGGGGCCCUACGGUUGACGUAGGCCCUCAAAGGUAGUGGCGGACCCUCCCGGAGCCUCCUUUGCGUAGUAACUAACGUCUCGCAUCGGGAUCCGGAGGGACUCUUGCCGUAAAACCCCCCAAUUUUUCAAUGGUUGACCUCGGAUCA